RNAcentral lists this ribosomal RNA (522 nucleotides) under uncultured Adhaeribacter sp. RNAcentral describes it as "bacterial SSU rRNA". It matches the Rfam family "Bacterial small subunit ribosomal RNA", at positions 386 to 905 of the family's 1533-position model. Lineage: Bacteria; Pseudomonadati; Bacteroidota; Cytophagia; Cytophagales; Hymenobacteraceae. The record is from RNAcentral.
UGACAGCCAUGCCGCGUGCAGGAUGAAGGCCUUCUGGGUUGUAAACUGCUUUUAUCUGGGAAAGGAAAACGCCCAUGCGUGGAGAAACUGACGGUACUAGAUGAAUAAGCACCGGGCUAACUCCGUGCCAGCAGCCGCGGUAAUACGGAGGGUGCAAGCGUUGUCCGGAUUUAUUGGGUUUAAAGGGUGCGUAGGCGGCCCGGUAAGUCCGUGGUGAAAGCCUCCAGCUCAACUGGAGAACUGCCAUGGAUACUGGCGGGCUUGAAUACAAACGAGGUUGGCGGAAUUGAUUGUGUAUCGGUGAAAUGCAUAGAUACAAUCAAGAACUCCGAUUGCGUAAGCAACUAACUAGGCUGUAACUGACGCUGAGGCACGAAAGCGUGGGGAGCGAACAGGAUUAGAUACCCUGGUAGUCCACGCUGUAAACGAUGAUUACUCGAUGUUGGCGAUAAACUGUCAGCGUCUUAGCGAAAGCGUUAAGUAAUCCACCUGGGGAGUACGCCCGCAAGGGUGAAACUCAAG